AAGUCGUAACAAGGUUUCCGUAGGUGAACCUGCGGAAGGAUCAUUAGCGAAGUUCGGAAUGCAUGUUCGGUGUUGAUGCUGCCCAGCAAUGGGAUGUGCUCACUCGGAUGUGUGUCCCUCCUCUAUCCACCCCACUGUGAACCAAGUGUGUGAGCCGAAGAGAAAUCGGACGCUCGCAUGCAAACCUUUAACAUACCCCAAUUAAGUAUCAGAAUGUACCUUGCGUUAACUCGCACAAAUAUAACUUUCAACAACGGAUCUCUUGGCUCUC
Molecule: unclassified non-coding RNA, 271 nt
Filed under: Peniophora albobadia
Lineage: Eukaryota; Fungi; Basidiomycota; Agaricomycetes; Russulales; Peniophoraceae
Description: partial internal transcribed spacer region
Rfam family: Eukaryotic small subunit ribosomal RNA (bases 1-46)
Source: RNAcentral